This 460-nucleotide ribosomal RNA is filed under the name uncultured bacterium. Its description in RNAcentral is "partial 16S ribosomal RNA". It matches the Rfam family "Bacterial small subunit ribosomal RNA", at positions 338 to 795 of the family's 1533-position model. The record is from RNAcentral.
CCUACGGGAGGCAGCAGUGAGGAAUAUUGGUCAAUGGGCGCAAGCCUGAACCAGCCAAGUCGCGUGAGGGAUGACGGUCCUAUGGAUUGUAAACCUCUUUUGUCGGGGAGCAAGGCCCGCCACGUGUGGCGGGAAGGAGAGUACCCGAAGAAAAAGCAUCGGCUAACUCCGUGCCAGCAGCCGCGGUAAUACGGAGGAUGCGAGCGUUAUCCGGAUUUAUUGGGUUUAAAGGGUGCGUAGGAGGAAGGUUAAGUCAGCGGUAAAAUGUCGGUGCUCAACACCGGCCUGCCGUUGAAACUGGUCUUCUUGAGUGAGCGAGAAGUAUGCGGAAUGCGUGGUGUAGCGGUGAAAUGCAUAGAUAUCACGCAGAACUCCGAUUGCGAAGGCAGCAUACCGGCGCUCAACUGACGCUGAGGCACGAAAGCGUGGGGAUCGAACAGGAUUAGAUACCCCAGUAGUC